Molecule: transfer RNA, 77 nt
Filed under: Bacteroidota bacterium
Lineage: Bacteria; Pseudomonadati; Bacteroidota
Also listed under: 1 other name
Description: Bacteroidetes bacterium tRNA-His
Rfam family: tRNA
About the family: Transfer RNA (tRNA) molecules are approximately 80 nucleotides in length.
Source: RNAcentral
GUGGGUAUAGCUCAGUUGGUUAGAGCGCUGGAUUGUGGUUCCAGAGGUCGCCGGUUCAAAUCCGGUUAUCCACCCCA